GGUGCAGUGGCCAAGCGGCAAGGCGUCAACCUUGUAAAUUGAAGAUCAUGGGUUUGAUCCCCAUGUGUGCCU
Gymnothorax javanicus (giant moray) is the source of this 72-nucleotide non-coding RNA. The record is from the annotation of a GenBank genome assembly. NCBI's taxonomy places the organism in Eukaryota, Metazoa, Chordata, Actinopteri, Anguilliformes, Muraenidae.